This 673-nucleotide ribosomal RNA is filed under the name Gymnosporangium cornutum. RNAcentral's name for it is "partial 28S ribosomal RNA". Lineage: Eukaryota; Fungi; Basidiomycota; Pucciniomycetes; Pucciniales; Gymnosporangiaceae. The record is from RNAcentral.
UACCCCGCUGAAAAUUAAGCAUAUCAAUAAGCGGAGGAAAAGAAACUAACAAGGAUUCCCCUAGUAACGGCGAGUGAAGAGGGAUCAGCCCAAAUUUGUAAUCUGGCUCUUUCAGAGUCUGAGUUGUAAUUUUGAGAACUGUUUUCUGCUCUGGACCAUGUACAAGUCUGUUGAAAUGCAGCAUCAUUGAGGGUGAGAAUCCUGUUCAUGAUAUGGACUACCAGGGCUUUAUGAUACAGUCUCUAAGAGUCGAGUUGUUUGGGAAUGCAGCUCAAAGUGGGUGGUAAAUUCCAUCUAAGGCUAAAUAUUGGUGAGAGACCGAUAGCAAACAAGUACCGUGAGGGAAAGAUGAAAAGAACUUUGGAAAGAGAGUUAACAGUACGUGAAAUUGUUAAAAGGGAAACAGUUGAAGUUAGACUUGUUGUUGUUGGUUCAGCUCUUUAAGGGUGUUUUCUGAUGAUUAACAAACCAACAUCAAUCUCUGGGUGUUGGAUAAGGGUCAUUGAAAUGUAGCAGUUUUGGCUGUGUUAUAGUCUUUGACUUGGAUACAGUGCCUGGGAUUGAGGAUUGCAGUAAGCCCCUAUUUGGGGUGGGACAAUUKAUUGUUCUUCUUACUGAGGAUGUUGGUGCAAUAGCUUUAAUUGACCCGUCUUGAAACACGAACCCAAGGAGA